UCUCCGUAGGUGAACCUGCGGAGGGAUCAUUACAGAGUUUUUGCCCGCAAGGGUAGAUCUCCCACCCUAUGUUAUUCCUUCUCUGUUGCUUUGGCGGGCCGUCCGGCCUCGGUCAGGCCACCGGCUCCGGCUGGUGAGCGCCCGCCAGAGGACCCCAAACCCUAAAUGUCAGUGUCGUCUGAGUACUAUAUAAUAGUUAAAACUUUCAACAACGGAUCCCUUGGUUCUG
Molecule: unclassified non-coding RNA, 229 nt
Filed under: plant metagenome
Description: partial contains small subunit ribosomal RNA, internal transcribed spacer 1, and 5.8S ribosomal RNA
Source: RNAcentral